ACUCAAAUGAAUUGACGGGGGCCCGCACAAGCAGCGGAGCGUGCGGUUUAAUUCGAUGGUACGCGAAGAACCUUACCCAGACUUGACAUGCGAGUGGUAGGAAGCCGAAAGGUAACCGACCCGCAAGGGAGCUCGUACAGGUGUUGCACGGCUGUCGUCAGCUCGUGUCGUGAGAUGUUGGGUUAAGUCCCGCAACGAGCGCAACCCUCGGGGUCUGUUGUAUCUCUCAGAUCCCACUGCCGAGAGAAACUCGGAGGAAGGUGGGGACGAAGUCAAGUCCGCGUGGCCUUUAUGUCUGGGGCUACACGCACGCUACAAUCGCCGGUCACAGCGGGUCGCGACAACGCAAGUUGAAGCUAAUCCCUUAAAACCGGCGUCAGUUCAGAUCGAAGGCUGCAACCCGCCUUCGUGAAGUCGGAGUUGCUAGUAACCGCGGGUCAGCACACCGCGGUGAAUAUGUUCCCGGGCCUUGUACACACCGCCCGU
RNAcentral lists this ribosomal RNA (486 nucleotides) under uncultured bacterium. RNAcentral describes it as "partial 16S ribosomal RNA". It matches the Rfam family "Bacterial small subunit ribosomal RNA", at positions 899 to 1397 of the family's 1533-position model. The record is from RNAcentral.